UGGGGAAUAUUGGACAAUGGAGGAAACUCUGAUCCAGCAAUUCUGUGUGUGUGAAGAAGGUUUUAGGACUGUAAAACACUUUUAGUAGGGAAGAAAAAAAUGACGGUACCUACAGAAGAAGCAACGGCUAAAUACGUGCCAGCAGCCGCGGUAAUACGUAUGUUGCGAGCGUUAUCCGGAAUUAUUGGGCUUAAAGGGCAUCUAGGCGGUAAGACAAGUUGAAGGUGAAAACCUGUGGCUAAACCAUAGGCUUGCCUACAAAACUGUUGAACUAGAGUACUGGAAAGGUGGGUGGAACUACACGAGUAGAGGUGAAAUUCGUAGAUAUGUGUAGGAAUGCCGAUGAUGAAGAUAACUCACUGGACAGAAACUGGCGCUGAAGUGCGAAAGCUAGGGGAGCAAACAGG
This 407-nucleotide ribosomal RNA is filed under the name Verrucomicrobiota bacterium. RNAcentral's name for it is "Verrucomicrobia bacterium partial 16S ribosomal RNA". It matches the Rfam family "Bacterial small subunit ribosomal RNA", at positions 355 to 776 of the family's 1533-position model. Lineage: Bacteria; Pseudomonadati; Verrucomicrobiota. The record is from RNAcentral.